UACGUAGGGAGCAAGCGUUAUCCGGAUUUAUUGGGUGUAAAGGGUGCGUAGACGGAGAAGCAAGUUAGUUGUGAAAUCCCUCGGCUUAACUGAGGAACUGCAACUAAAACUACUUCCCUUGAGUACUGGAGAGGAAAGUGGAAUUCCUAGUGUAGCGGUGAAAUGCGUAGAUAUUAGGAGGAACACCAGUGGCGAAGGCGACUUUCUAGACAGUAACUGACGUUGAGGCACGAAAGUGUGGGGAGCAAACAUG
RNAcentral lists this ribosomal RNA (253 nucleotides) under uncultured bacterium. RNAcentral's name for it is "partial 16S ribosomal RNA". It matches the Rfam family "Bacterial small subunit ribosomal RNA", at positions 524 to 776 of the family's 1533-position model. The record is from RNAcentral.